RNAcentral lists this ribosomal RNA (420 nucleotides) under uncultured bacterium. RNAcentral's name for it is "partial 16S ribosomal RNA". It matches the Rfam family "Bacterial small subunit ribosomal RNA", at positions 355 to 794 of the family's 1533-position model. The record is from RNAcentral.
UGGGGAAUCUUGCACAAUGGGGGAAACCCUGAUGCAGCGACGCCGCGUGAGCGAUGAAGCCCUUCGGGGUGUAAAGCUCUUUCGGCAGGAACGAUAAUGACGGUACCUGCAGAAGAAGCUGCGGCUAACUACGUGCCAGCAGCCGCGGUAAUACGUAGGCAGCGAGCGUUGUUCGGAGUUACUGGGCGUAAAGAGUGCGUAGGUGGUUCUCUAAGUUCGGUGUGAAAUCUCCCGGCUCAACUGGGAGGGUGCGCCGAAAACUGGAGGGCAGGAGUGCGGAGAGGAGAGCGGAAUUCCUGGUGUAGCGGUGAAAUGCGUAGAUAUCAGGAGGAACACCUGUGGUGCAGACGGCUCUCUGGACCGCUACUGACACUGAGGCACGAAAGCGUGGGAGCAAACAGGAUUAGAUACCCUGGUAGU